AUUGAACGCUGGCGGCAGGCUUAACACAUGCAAGUCGAGCGGAGCGGCGGACGGGUGAGUAAUGCCUAGGCAUCUGCCUGGUAGUGGGGGAUAACGUCCGGAAACGGGCGCUAAUACUGCAUACUCGCAGAUGAGCCUCGGUCGGAUUAGCUAGUUGGUGGUGUAAAGGCCUACCAAGGCGAAGAUCCGUAACUGGUCUGAGAGGAUGAGCAGUCACACUGGAACUGAGACACGGUCCAGACUCCUACGGGAGGCAGCAGUGGGGAAUAUUGGACAAUGGGCGAAAGCCUGAUCCAGCCAUGCCGCGUGUGUGAAGAAGGUCUUCGGAUUGUAAAGCACUUUAAGUAGGGAGGCGUUACCAACAGAAUAAGCACCGGCUAACUUCGUGCCAGCAGCCGCGGUAAUUC
Molecule: ribosomal RNA, 407 nt
Filed under: uncultured bacterium
Lineage: Bacteria
Description: partial 16S ribosomal RNA
Rfam family: Bacterial small subunit ribosomal RNA
Source: RNAcentral